This 253-nucleotide ribosomal RNA is filed under the name uncultured bacterium. RNAcentral's name for it is "partial 16S ribosomal RNA". It matches the Rfam family "Bacterial small subunit ribosomal RNA", at positions 524 to 776 of the family's 1533-position model. The record is from RNAcentral.
UACAGAGGGUGCAAGCGUUAAUCGGAAUUACUGGGCGUAAAGCGCACGUAGGCGGAUUGCUAAGUCAGGGGUGAAAUCCUGGAGCUCAACUCCAGAACUGCCUUUGAUACUGGCGAUCUCGAGUCCGGGAGAGGUGAGUGGAACUGCGAGUGUAGAGGUGAAAUUCGUAGAUAUUCGCAAGAACACCAGUGGCGAAGGCGGCUCACUGGCCCGGUACUGACGCUGAGGUGCGAAAGCGUGGGGAGCAAACAGG